Molecule: long non-coding RNA, 238 nt
Organism: Triticum dicoccoides
Lineage: Eukaryota; Viridiplantae; Streptophyta; Magnoliopsida; Poales; Poaceae
Exons: 3
Source: RefSeq, a predicted model, not a curated record
UGGGCUACUCAGCCAAGGAGAAGUGGCGGUGUACUUCAUCACAGCCUUCCGUUUUCGAAAACAUCAGUCAAUCCUUUGUUAAGUGAGCAUAAUGGACAUCAAUGACCCAACCAUGCCCAUAAUGGCCAUACAGUACAACAAGGCAUCCUCGUUGGUCUAUGUUGCAAAUGGGCUGCAGCACUUUCCAUGCUUUCAAGCCGAAGGACUUCACUCCGAGGGCAUACUCUACAAGCAAUAC